Molecule: ribosomal RNA, 397 nt
Filed under: uncultured bacterium
Lineage: Bacteria
Description: bacterial SSU rRNA
Rfam family: Bacterial small subunit ribosomal RNA
Source: RNAcentral
AUUGAACGCUGGCGGCAUGCCUUACACAUGCAAGUCGAACGGCAGCACGGGAGCAAUCCUGGUGGCGAGUGGCGAACGGGUGAGUAAUAUAUCGGAACGUGCCCGGUCGUGGGGAUAACGUAGCGAAAGCUACGCUAAUACCGCAUGCGAUCUACGGAUGAAAGCGGGGGAUCGCAAGACCUCGCGCGAUUGGAGCGGCCGAUAUCAGAUUAGGUAGUUGGUGAGGUAAAGGCUCACCAAGCCGACGAUCUGUAGCUGGUCUGAGAGGACGACCAGCCACACUGGGACUGAGACACGGCCCAGACUCCUACGGGAGGCAGCAGUGGGGAAUUUUUGGACAAUGGGCGCAAGCCUGAUCCAGCAAUGCCGCGUGCAGGAUGAAGGCCUCGGUUGUAAC